GAUGAACGCUGGCGGCGUGCUUAACACAUGCAAGUCGAACGGAAAGGCUCCUGCUUGCAGGGGUACUCGAGUGGCGAACGGGUGAGUAACACGUGGGUGAUCUGCCCUGCACUUCGGGAUAAGCCUGGGAAACUGGGUCUAAUACCGGAUAGGACGAUGGUUUGGAUGCCAUUGUGGAAAGUUUUUCGGUGUGGGAUGAGCUCGCGGCCUAUCAGCUUGUUGGUGGGGUAAUGGCCUACCAAGGCGUCGACGGGUAGCCGGCCUGAGAGGGUGUACGGCCACAUUGGGACUGAGGUACGGCCCAGACUCCUACGGGGGGCAGCAGUGGGGAAUAUUGCACAAUGGGCGCAAGCCUGAUGCAGCGACGCCGCGUGGGGGAUGACGGCCUUCGGGUUGUAAACUCCUUUCGCUAGGGACGAAGCGCAAGUGACGGUACCUGGAGAAGAAGCACCGGCUAACUACGUG
Molecule: ribosomal RNA, 465 nt
Filed under: uncultured bacterium
Lineage: Bacteria
Description: partial 16S ribosomal RNA
Rfam family: Bacterial small subunit ribosomal RNA
Source: RNAcentral